UAAAAAAUAAGCUAAACAAAGCUAAUGAGUUCAUACCUCAUUUAUAUUGGUUUUAAUCCUUUUUUUUUAA
This 70-nucleotide transfer RNA is filed under the name Gumaga orientalis. RNAcentral's name for it is "tRNA-Met". It matches the Rfam family "tRNA". Rfam says of the family: Transfer RNA (tRNA) molecules are approximately 80 nucleotides in length. Their secondary structure includes four short double-helical elements and three loops (D, anti-codon, and T loops). Further hydrogen bonds mediate the characteristic L-shaped molecular structure. tRNAs have two regions of fundamental functional importance: the anti-codon, which is responsible for specific mRNA codon recognition, and the 3' end, to which the tRNAs corresponding amino acid is attached (by aminoacyl-tRNA synthetases). tRNAs cope with the degeneracy of the genetic code in two manners: having more than one tRNA (with a specific anti-codon) for a particular amino acid; and 'wobble' base-pairing, i.e. permitting non-standard base-pairing at the 3rd anti-codon position. Lineage: Eukaryota; Metazoa; Arthropoda; Insecta; Trichoptera; Sericostomatidae. The record is from RNAcentral.